Molecule: non-coding RNA, 1452 nt
Organism: Taeniopygia guttata (zebra finch)
Lineage: Eukaryota; Metazoa; Chordata; Aves; Passeriformes; Estrildidae
Source: RefSeq, a predicted model, not a curated record
UGUAGUUUCAUCUCCCUCAGCUAAAAUGGUAAGGGUGUGACAGAUCAGCAGAGGUCAGGUGAGACUGGAUGGAAGGGGAGGAGUUGCUCUCAUUUGGAAUUUUUUUUUUUUUCAGUAACAAAACUGGUCACACCUCUAAUAGCCAGACUCAGCUGUGUUUUCAGGUAAUGUUAAUAACAGGUUGCUAGAGUGCUUAGCUUGUUCAAUCCAUUCAGUAAUUAGAGCUGGUGCUGAAGUCAUAAAGAACGGAAUGAGGCUUUAAUGAACACAUUAAUUUGUCUGCAAGUACAGCUCUGCAGAGCGUCCUCACAAAUGGCAGUCACCCAACAGGGCAGGUCCAUGUGGCAGCUGAGGACAAAACCCCAACAUUUAAGUGACCAUCAAGAAGAUCAGUUCAGCAGUGCAAGCCAAGGAAAUUAAAGCUAGCAACUCUACAGCUAGAUUAGUUAUUUUUCAAAAUCUCAAAGUGCUGAGAACUUUGUGUCUUUAUUCAGUGUUAAGGCUGAUACUUCCAGCAAUAUUCACACACUGAGGCAAUGUUUUUAAUGACUCAGGGGAAGAAGCUGUCUACUGAAUCACCAGUAUCCAAACCUGAAGAACCCAACUGCUUUCUGUAAAUCUGAAUAUAAUUAAGCAUAGUCUUGUUCUUUUUGUUAGACAUGAAACAACCAUAGAUGGUGAGACACCACUUACAUAACAGUAAAAAUAUUACUUGUUUUAGUUUUCUACCCCAGAAUCUGGAACCUACAAUGUAUUGAAGUGUGUUGUUUAUAAGGACUGAGAAGAGGAUAAAACAAAUAUCUAGAAGAAACGUACACCCUAAACAUGCAAACAACAUUUCUGCUCAAGAAACUCCUAAACCAGAUGUUGUUAGAAGCUGGAAAAAUAUUCUAGAGGUAAAACCAUGCAAGCUUGUGCUGUUCUUAAUCCAUUGACCGUUGUCAAACCAUGGAGUAACGGGAGCUUUGAUAUGAUCUAGUGUUGUCAGCACUCUCCAUGUUCUUUGAACACGACAAGCAGUUACAUCAGAUUAGAAGAAGAGACAGUGGGUGUCCCAUAUUGUCCCAAAAAUAAAAAAAGCACCAGGUAAACAUUGCAUGAGGACAUGAUUGAUGCCAGAAGAACAGAGGGUGGAAGGUCAAGGAAAGCAUUUGUUACAAGAGCUGUUCUGCAAAUAAUCUGAGAUGUGCCAGAACAUCAGCAGAGUCAUAGGAAUUAGCCAAUACUUGCCUGCUGAAGUGUUUGCAGUAGCUGCUUGCGAAGAGGAAACAUUUUUUUGGCUGUGUAGGUGACUUUCAUCACAUCUUCCAGACUGAGGUGUAGAACAGCUGUAGAGAUCCAGAAAGAAGGACCCUGAGGCCUUCAGCUUAAGCUCCAGUUCUGUGUUUAUGCCUGUGUGGAAUAGAUCCCAUUACAUUGACCUGAAUCUAAACAAGAUUACAUGAAAUUAAA